UGGAGAGUUUGAUCCUGGCUCAGGACGAACGCUGGCGGCGUGCCUAAUACAUGCAAGUCGAGCGGACCGACGGGAGCUUGCUCCCUUAGGUCAGCGGCGGACGGGUGAGUAACACGUGGGUAACCUGCCUGUAAGACUGGGAUAACUCCGGGAAACCGGGGCUAAUACCGGAUGCUUGAUUGAACCGCAUGGUUCAAUCAUAAAAGGUGGCUUUUAGCUACCACUUACAGAUGGACCCGCGGCGCAUUAGCUAGUUGGUGAGGUAACGGCUCACCAAGGCGACGAUGCGUAGCCGACCUGAGAGGGUGAUCGGCCACACUGGGACUGAGACACGGCCCAGACUCCUACGGGAGGCAGCAGUAGGGAAUCUUCCGCAAUGGACGAAAGUCUGACGGAGCAACGCCGCGUGAGUGAUGAAGGUUUUCGGAUCGUAAAACUCUGUUGUUAGGGAAGAACAAGUACCGUUCGAAUAGGGCGGYACCUUGACGGUACCUAACCAGAAAGCCACGGCUAACUACGUGCCAGCAGCCGCGG
This 534-nucleotide ribosomal RNA is filed under the name Bacillus sp. IRH39. RNAcentral describes it as "bacterial SSU rRNA". It matches the Rfam family "Bacterial small subunit ribosomal RNA", at positions 1 to 520 of the family's 1533-position model. Lineage: Bacteria; Bacillati; Bacillota; Bacilli; Caryophanales; Bacillaceae. The record is from RNAcentral.